This 353-nucleotide ribosomal RNA is filed under the name Shigella flexneri. RNAcentral's name for it is "bacterial SSU rRNA". It matches the Rfam family "Bacterial small subunit ribosomal RNA", at positions 295 to 640 of the family's 1533-position model. The record is from RNAcentral. Lineage: Bacteria; Pseudomonadati; Pseudomonadota; Gammaproteobacteria; Enterobacterales; Enterobacteriaceae.
AGAGGAUGACCAGCCACACUGGAACUGAGACACGGUCCAGACUCCUACGGGAGGCAGCAGUGGGGAAUAUUGCACAAUGGGCGCAAGCCUGAUGCAGCCAUGCCGCGUGUAUGAAGAAGGCCUUCGGGUUGUAAAGUACUUUCAGCGGGGAGGAAGGGAGUAAAGUUAAUACCUUUACUCAUUGACGUUACCCGCAGAAGAAGCACCGGCUAACUCCGUGCCAGCAGCCGCGGUAAUACGGAGGGUGCAAGCGUUAAUCGGAAUUACUGGGCGUAAAGCGCACGCAGGCGGUUUGUUAAGUCAGAUGUGAAAUCCCCGGGCUCAACCUGGGAACUGCAUCUGAUACUGGCAAG